This is a long non-coding RNA of Panicum virgatum (switchgrass), 1028 nucleotides long. RefSeq lists it as uncharacterized. Lineage: Eukaryota; Viridiplantae; Streptophyta; Magnoliopsida; Poales; Poaceae. The record is from RefSeq and is a predicted model, not a curated record. The transcript is spliced from 2 exons.
GUAAUCACAAAGAUAUAUACCUCUAAAUACCAUGAAGUUAUGAAUACACAUAUAUCUCUGAAUACAAUGAGCGCUCCUCUAAUCACAAAAAGAAUUAUAAUUCAAUGAGGGUCCCUCUAAAUACCAUGAGUAUGAGUUGGGAUUCCAUUGCAGAGAGGGGAAAAUAGGAACACAGAUCAUAUAUAGGUGAGGCAUGGUUCUUGACUUCUUGUACCACUGGCAGCUACCUUGUUUGUUUGUGUCCAUAAUGGAGCUGAUAAGGAAUGAAAGGACCAGUGGAAGAAAUUUGCAGCCGUUGCAUCUGUUAGGUACGGGUUACCAAUCGGGGAACAGGCGGUGGCUUCCCCUUCCUUGCGUUCACAUGUUGUUCCGCUAGCUGCAGCUGAUGGAUGUUCCGCUAGCUGUAGCUGAUGGAUGGAUCCGUGGAGGCGCACAGCUCUAACAUAUAGCUGAUGCUUGGCUCUAGCGUGGACUUGACCAUGGAAGCCUCUUCUCCCCCUACUCAGGGAGACUGCCGUCGAGGGAAUCAGGGGCAGCACCAUCGCCGACGAUGAUUGCCGCCUCGGCGAGACUGCUGUCGAUUGAAACAGGGAUAGCACCAUCGCCGGCGAUGAGUAGGUACGACGACCACAACGGGCACCCUGCCCUCGACUUCGUCCCCGGCCGUCCCCUCGUCGACGAGCCUGCAGUCGAAUGCCCCGAUGAACCGCCAGGUAAAGAAAGGCGUGUGGAUUCACGCUCCACGAGGACCAGCUACUGCUGUGGUCUCUCCUCAGCCACCGUGCAAUAACCUUAAGCUGGCUGAUUUCGAUGCUCAAGGGCAGAAAGAUCUACUUGUUUUGGCUAGUAUCCUUGCUUUUGGCGUUGCUUUACCUUUUGUGCUUUCUCCCUGAUGAUCGACGAAAUAAGACAAGGCUUGGUUUGGCUGUACCUAAUGUAAUAUAUGCGCAUCCACUUGGAUCCCCAAAAUGUUCACGACAAAUUCCUAUACGUUUCAGUACUUCAGUGUGUAUGUGCUAACAAUUGAA